Molecule: ribosomal RNA, 460 nt
Filed under: uncultured bacterium
Lineage: Bacteria
Description: partial 16S ribosomal RNA
Rfam family: Bacterial small subunit ribosomal RNA
Source: RNAcentral
CCUACGGGAGGCAGCAGUGAGGAAUAUUGGUCAAUGGACGAGAGUCUGAACCAGCCACGUAGCGUGAAGGAUGACUGCCCUAUGGGUUGUAAACUUCUUUUAUAAAGGAAUAAAACGAGGCACGUGUGCCUUUUUGCAUGUACUUUAUGUAUAAGGAUCGGCUAACUCCGUGACAGCAGCCGCGGUAAUACGGAGGAUCCGAGCGUUAUCCGGAUUUAUUGGGUUUAAAGGGAGCGUAGAUGGGUUGUUAAGUCAGUUGCGAAAGUUUGCGGCUCAACCGUAAAAUUGCAAUUGAUACUGGCAGUCUUGAGUACAGUUGAGGUAGGCGGAAUUCGUGGUGUAGCGGUGAAAUGCUGAGAUAUCACGAAGAACCCCGAUUGCGAAGGCAGCUUACUAAACUGUGACUGACAUUGAUGCUCGAAAGUGUGGGUAUCAAACAGGAUUAGAUACCCGUGUAGUC